This 482-nucleotide ribosomal RNA is filed under the name uncultured bacterium. RNAcentral describes it as "partial 16S ribosomal RNA". It matches the Rfam family "Bacterial small subunit ribosomal RNA", at positions 28 to 507 of the family's 1533-position model. The record is from RNAcentral.
GACGAACGCUGGCGGCGUGCUUAACACAUGCAAGUCGAACGAUGACGCAGAGACACGCGAACUUCGGUUCAAAUUUCACUUCGGCUUAGUGGCAGACGGGUGCGUACCGCGUGAGCAACCUACCUCUUACAAAGGGAUAGCCUCGGGAAACCGUUAUUAAUACCCUAUGACACAUUCAUAAAGCCUCUUACGAAUUUUAAAUCUACGGCGGUAAGAGAUGGGCUCGCGUCCCAUUAACUAGUUCGUGAGGUAAAGGCCCACCAAGGCGACAAUGGUCAAACGGGCAGAGAGAGAGAACGGUGACAUUGAAACGAAGACACGGUCGAAACUCUUACGGGAGGCAGCAAUGGGGAAUAUAGCACAACGGAGUGAACGCUGAAGCAGCGACGCUGGGUGAGCGAUGAAGGAAUGCGAGUCGUAAAGCUCUGUUAUAUGGGAAGAAAAGGACGGUACCAUAGGAGAAAGCCCCGGCUAAAUACGUG